UACGUAGGGCGCAAGCGUUAUCCGGAAUUAUUGGGCGUAAAGAGCUCGUAGGCGGUUUGUCGCGUCUGCCGUGAAAGUCCGGGGCUCAACUCCGGAUCUGCGGUGGGUACGGGCAGACUAGAGUGAUGUAGGGGAGACUGGAAUUCCUGGUGUAGCGGUGAAAUGCGCAGAUAUCAGGAGGAACACCGGUGGCGAAGGCGGUUCUCUGGGCAUUACCUGACGCUGAGGAGCAAAAGUGUGGGGAGCGAACAGG
Molecule: ribosomal RNA, 253 nt
Filed under: uncultured bacterium
Lineage: Bacteria
Description: partial 16S ribosomal RNA
Rfam family: Bacterial small subunit ribosomal RNA
Source: RNAcentral